Molecule: ribosomal RNA, 497 nt
Filed under: uncultured bacterium
Lineage: Bacteria
Description: partial 16S ribosomal RNA
Rfam family: Bacterial small subunit ribosomal RNA
Source: RNAcentral
GAUGAACGCUGGCGGCGUGCCUAAUACAUGCAAGUCGAGCGAACAGACGAGGAGCUUGCUCCUCUGACGUUAGCGGCGGACGGGUGAGUAACACGUGGAUAACCUACCUAUAAGACUGGGAUAACUUCGGGAAACCGGAGCUAAUACCGGAUAAUAUAUUGAACCGCAUGGGUCAAUAGUGAAAGACGGUUUUGCUGUCACUUAUAGCUGGAUCCGCGCCGCAUUAGCUAGUUGGUAAGGUAACGGCUUACCAAGGCAACGAUGCGUAGCCGACCUGAGAGGGUGAUCGGCCACACUGGAACUGAGACACGGUCCAGACGCCUACGGGAGGCAGCAGUAGGGAAUCUUCCGCAAUGGGCGAAAACCUGACGGAGCAACGCCGAGUGAGUGAUGAAGGUCUUCGGAUCGUAAAACUCUGUUAUUAGGGAAGAACAAAUGUGUAAGUAACUAUGCACGUCGUGACGGUACCUAAUCAGAAAGCCACGGCUAACUACGUG